ACUUGCAGCAAUGCAACCGUUUUCUCAGCUAAAAGGAAAACAUUCAAGCUGCCAUUUCAUUCAAAAGUUUUUAUUAGCAGCAGCAGCACAUUUUAUUCAAGACGUCGUGCUGAAAUCAAAGAUAAAAUACGCUGCCAAGUUCUUGGGCAAAAGAAGCGAAACGAAAGGCGAGAUUUAGUGGGGAAAUUUUGGAAGUAAGCCGGGACUGCGUUUGUGGUGGCUUACAUUAAUCAUGCGAUGGAAAAAUACCCCCGGCGACUUACGAUGGAGUUCCGUUGGACGUCCUUAUUUAGAGCAAACAGAGGCUGUUCGGGAAUCCCGUGUAAUCCGACCACUUAUCACGGCUGCAAAAUGCAAAUUUUCCAGCCGGCACGCAGUAUUACGGGCCGGGAUACGUCAGGGAUAUUGUCAAAGUUCGCUACCAAGGGAUACACAGGUUAAUCUCAGGUCUAAACUUAGGUGGGCCUACUCUAUUCGCAAUUA
Long non-coding RNA from Cydia amplana, 483 nucleotides. RefSeq lists it as uncharacterized. The record is from RefSeq and is a predicted model, not a curated record. Lineage: Eukaryota; Metazoa; Arthropoda; Insecta; Lepidoptera; Tortricidae. The transcript has 3 exons.